Long non-coding RNA from Salmo salar (Atlantic salmon), 2824 nucleotides. RefSeq lists it as uncharacterized. NCBI's taxonomy places the organism in Eukaryota, Metazoa, Chordata, Actinopteri, Salmoniformes, Salmonidae. The record is from RefSeq and is a predicted model, not a curated record.
GCAGUGUGUAGCAGCGAGAUUCCUAGAUGUGAGAAGUGUGCAGGAGGACCUGAGAGAAAGGAAUGUGUAGUAUUGAUGCAAAAAGUUGUGUGUGUAAACUGUAGGGGUACACAUGGUGCUUGAGAUCAGACGUGUCCGGUGAGAGAAAGACAGGUUGAGGUUACCAGGAUCAGAGUAGCGCAGAAGGUGUUGUAUGCUGAGGCAGUGAAGAGAGUAGUAGAGGAAGAUGGGUCCAGGGUGAAGGAUCCUGAGAGGAUCCCUGUGAUUAGACUGAGGUCAAUAGAGAGUGAUAGGAAUAACAUGCUUCAGUAAGAUUCAUUUUUUUGGCGUUCAUGGCCAUGGUUGUCAACCGUACCACAGGAAUAUAAUGUAAAUAACAGUGGAUAGAUGUUGUGGCAGCUGUUGAGAAUACUUGGGUGUACAAUAUUUUACUGCAGAGUUACAAGGUGUUUUGAAAGAUAAUAUCCCGUCCUCUCAGGCUGCUGGCCUGAUGUAGGAUCAGAGAGCUAAAGUAGUGGAAUAUUGAUGAGGUUUUAAUGGGUGUAGGGUUUGUUGGUUUUUCACAAAGUGCAAUGAAUUAAUACUACAGAAUAGUAGGCUGAUGCACAGCCAAUACACUAGGUGGGGGCGUGCACCUAUAAUAAUUGUUUGCGGACCGCCAUAACACCAGUUCUGCUCUGGAUCUGGUCUGUAAAGCGUAACGCGUGUUUAGCAGAUGUUAUUGCGGGUGUAGCGAAAUGCUUGUAAUACACAGACUACUGCGAAGGUUGCAUUGCUGUAAAUGCUGCAUGGUUCGCUGCACGUAUAGCUGCUGUAAAUACCCAGGUAUUUUAUAGGCUACCGUUACUGGGCAUCAGACAAUUAAAACUAGCUGGACUCUCGUGUAGAGUUAGACGAUAACAGACAUCAGGAUUCUUAGUGAAUAGGAUGUUGGACGUUUAAUUGACUUGAAUAGAUUAAAAUCUUAUCCAGGAUCUUUCUGAAGUAAGAUUAGGCUACAUCAGACAUAUAUUUGUCACAACGUAAAUCGAGUGUUGAUAUUUAAAUUUACGUUUGCUCUGGUCUAGCUUUAUCUGAACGCUGUGACAAGGAAGUAACUGUAGUCUUGGCUAGCUACAGAUUUACUGUCACGUUUUUUUAUUUGAAGAAACGCUGAAGAAAGAAAAGCUAACUAUGGAUCGGGACAGAGCUAGCCCGUCCCCCUCCAACCUGCCAGAGUCCCCUGGUCGCAACUCUCCUGGUAGCGCCUUACUGCUGGGUCUGAAGAGGGUGUCAGUGCGGCUGGUCGACUGCAGGAAAACAGCAGGGCAGAGUGGAACUGUGAGAGAAGGACACGAUGGAGAUUUGAUUUCAUCAAGUAAAAACAAUGGGGGGAAACCCCAUACCGUUCUCUCAGUGGGAGGGGCUUAUCAUCUGGGGAGCCUCAACAGCAUCAUGUUGCUGACGAGACAGAGAAGAGUCUCUCCAGAUCAGAACAUCUCAAGAAGCACCAGCAGAGACGUACAGGGAAGAAACCUCACCACUGCUGUUCUGACUGUGGGAAGAGAUUCACAAGCCAGAGUGGCUUCAUUAUUCACUGUGAUCAGUGUGGGAAGAGUUUUGCUGCAUCAAACACCUUCAAAUCUAAUGUAAGAAUUCGUACCAGGGAGAAGUCUUACCCCUGCCUUGAUUGUGGGGAAAGCUUUGUUAGUGCAGGAGCCUUAACCAUACACCAGCGUGUACACACUGGAGAGAAGCCUUAUAGCUGUGAUCAGUGUGGAAAGAGCUUUACUGUAUCAGAACAACUAACCAAACACCAGCACAUACAUACAGGAGAGAAGCCUUAUAGCUGUGAUCAGUGUGGAAAGUGCUUUACUCGAUCAGGGAACCUGAAUUCACACCAGCGAACACACACUGGACAGAAGCCUUAUAGCUGUGAUCAGUGUGGGAAGAGCUUUGCUGCAGCUUCCACCCUGACUGCACACCAGCGAACACACACUGGAGAGAAACCUUAUAGCUGUGAUCAUUGUGGAAAGAGCUUUGCUCAAUCAGGGACCCUGAAUUCACACAAGCUAACACACACUGGUGAGAAAGAAGCCUUAUAUCUGUGAUCAGUGUGGGAAGCGUUUCAGACAGUCGGGGACCCUAUAUUCACACCAGUGAACACACACUGGAGAAGGAACCUUAUGUCUGUCUAGUUGGGAAGAACUUUGUUUAUUUAGGGCCAAUGAGGAAACACCAGAAAGCACAAACUUGCUGUAUUUUGUCUCCCUCCCUUCUGGAACCGGUUCCAGAUCCCUAAAUAAAGGAUCAAUAGAAAACAUCUAGUGAACACUCAUAUCCAUCUCCCAUUGUUAAACAGUUGACUUAGUCUGAUCACCAUUUUAACCUCUGUGGAGAAUAAUAUGCAGUUCUGAUCUAGGAUCAGGUCUCCCCUGUGUCUAUGUAAUAUCACACAUUGGGAUCUAAAUGAAUAAAUGUUAUCAUAGAAAAUGUCAUAGUGAACCUGUGUGGGGGAGGGGGGGGGUUGAUAAUUGUAUCUUCUUUCAUAUACUCAUGAUACUAUUAUUAUGAAAUGUCAUUAUGUAGAAUAAUGUUUCAACAAUAGGUGUAUAUUCAUGUAUUCAAUUGAUCAAUACAUUCAAUCCAUUAUCUUCUAAACAAGAAGUUAUCACUUAAAUUGUAUAUUUUAUAUAUCUAUAUUGAUUUAAAAUGCUCCUUAAACGAAUCAAUAAUACAUUGGAUAAUAAUAUCCAUGAGGUCAUGGCAAGAACUAUGCAUACUGUGUCUUGUAACAACGGUUAAUGUAAUAACUUUUAGAUUUAUAAUGUAAUAAAACCAGUAA